GAUGAACGCUGGCGGCGUGCCUAAUACAUGCAAGUCGAGCGAACAGACGAGGAGCUUGCUCCUCUGACGUUAGCGGCGGACGGGUGAGUAACACGUGGAUAACCUACCUAUAAGACUGGGAUAACUUCGGGAAACCGGAGCUAAUACCGGAUAAUAUCUUGAACCGCAUGGUUCAAUAGUGAAAGACGGCUUUGCUGUCACUUAUAGAUGGAUCCGCGCCGCAUUAGCUAGUUGGUAAGGUAACGGCUUACCAAGGCAACGAUGCGUAGCCGACCUGAGAGGGUGAUCGGCCACACUGGAACUGAGACACGGUCCAGACUCCUACGGGAGGCAGCAGUAGGGAAUCUUCCGCAAUGGGCGAAAGCCUGACGGAGCAACGCCGCGUGAGUGAUGAAGGUCUUCGGAUCGUAAAACUCUGUUAUUAGGGAAGAACAAAUGUGUAAGUAACUAUGCACGUCUUGACGGUACCUAAUCAGAAAGCCACGGCUAACUACGUG
This 497-nucleotide ribosomal RNA is filed under the name uncultured bacterium. RNAcentral describes it as "partial 16S ribosomal RNA". It matches the Rfam family "Bacterial small subunit ribosomal RNA", at positions 28 to 507 of the family's 1533-position model. The record is from RNAcentral.